GCCACCGUAGCUCAGUUGGUAGAGCGGCGCUUUUGUAAAGCGUUGGUCCGGGGUUCGAUUCCUCGCGGUGGCU
This 73-nucleotide transfer RNA is filed under the name Patescibacteria group bacterium. RNAcentral's name for it is "tRNA-Thr". It matches the Rfam family "tRNA". From Rfam's summary of the family: Transfer RNA (tRNA) molecules are approximately 80 nucleotides in length. The record is from RNAcentral.